CCGGAAUAGCUCAGUUGGUAGAGCAGAGGACUGAAAAUCCUCGUG
RNAcentral lists this transfer RNA (45 nucleotides) under Pylaisia intricata. Its description in RNAcentral is "partial tRNA-Phe". The record is from RNAcentral. RNAcentral also lists the same sequence under 7 other names. Lineage: Eukaryota; Viridiplantae; Streptophyta; Bryopsida; Hypnales; Pylaisiaceae.